GCUGGGUUUAGAACGUCGUGAGACAGUUCGGUCCCUAUCUGCCGUGGGCGUUGGAGAAUUGGUUGGGGCUGCUCCUAGUACGAGAGGACCGGAGUGGACGCACCACUGGUGUUCCGGUUGUGUCGCCAGACGCAUUGCCGGGUAGCUAAGUGCGGAAGAGAUAAGUGCUGAAAGCAUCUAAGCACGAAACUUGCCAAGAGAUGAGUUCUCCCAGGUUAUAAACCUGUAAGGGUUGUUUAAGACUAAGACGUAGAUAGGCAGGGUGUGUAAGUGAUGUGAGUCAUUGAGCUAACCUGUACUAAUUGCCCGAGAGGCUUAACUAUACAACGCUCAAG
This 335-nucleotide ribosomal RNA is filed under the name Haemophilus haemolyticus. Its description in RNAcentral is "partial 23S ribosomal RNA". It matches the Rfam family "Bacterial large subunit ribosomal RNA", at positions 2604 to 2925 of the family's 2925-position model. The record is from RNAcentral. Lineage: Bacteria; Pseudomonadati; Pseudomonadota; Gammaproteobacteria; Pasteurellales; Pasteurellaceae.